CAGGUAUUACAUAGCGGCGUUUUGAAUAACGCCAAACUUGCAUUACGGCGAAUUGAUUAACGUAUUUUGUACCGGAAUUGAUUUACGUCGUUUUGGCUUAUUCUGUCUCUCACGCAUAAAAUUGUAUUAGGCUAUCUCUCUCUAGCAUUUUCGUGCAAGAGGAGACACCACGAAUGUUCAAAUUCACCUCGAGCCAUGGUGGUGAAUUUUUUCAAGAAAAUCAAGUAGCGAAUUAAAAGUAAUUUUUGUAUUUUUUAUCCUUUUAGUGUGAAUAUAAUUAAUUGUGUAAAAAUAAAAAUAAAUUUGUGAAAAUCGUGAAAAUAAAUCGACGAAAAAUGGUUAAAAAAGAUAUGAAAUUAGGUCAACUGAACGGCAGAUGAACGGCGUUGUGUGGGAGGGACUUUUCUUAUAGCUUGUCAGGAGAAUGACUACCAAAGUGGCCAGGAAGGUAGUGAUUAGGCUGUGUUGUUACGUGGAAUAACCGUGCGUCAGAAGCGAAAUUCACACAGACGGAUUUGCUAGAUCCUGAAUCCAUUCAGAGGGUUGUGGAACUUCGUCUGGAUUGCAAACGAUGGCCACAGGGGAGACACACGGAAGACUAGGGCUGUAGAAUUUUCUUCGGGUGACCAAACUAACGCGACACUACGGCUCAUUUGAAGGAGCUCCAUGAUCUUGAGUUCAGUCUGGAAGUGAAACGCGUGGUGUCAACCGCCAAGGAUGGGUUGAGUGUAAUUUGUGAUGUAACCUCUGGCCUGGAACAUACUCGAGGCAACCACCUGAGGGAGUGAAAUACCUUCCCAUGCGCUGUGUGUGUUCUUGAGGACAAGAAGAACAGUGACGCCACUGCACACUGACAAUCCCAUUACGAAAGUCCUGGAAGGAACAUGGCUUCCUGUAAUGAAAGAAUCCCGAAACAAAGACUCUUCUGGGCGCUAUUGAAGAGGAUGCGAGUCUCAGUAUUAUCAGUGAGUGGAGAUAGACGAUUUGUUGGCUAUCAGUACGCUGUUUGGUACCUCCUUAAGCAAAGCACACACAUUGCCUUCAAUCUUCAGCGGGCUCUUCAUGUCACGGGACACAAUUCCUUCCCAAUCUCAGCUCCGAGGAUCCUGCAAUCUCCAACAAUGCCAAAGAAAUUAUUCCCUCGAGUUUAAAAAUUUCCUGCCAGUGAAAAAUCAAAGAAAAAUCUUCAUGAAUAAAGAAAAUUCACUCUUUAUUAAAUUUUAUUCUUUAUUAAAUUAAAAAAAUAAUAAAAUUUUGUUAAUAGAGUAUUUUUGUAAAAAUGAACUAAAAUAAAUAAUGAUUUGAACAUAGAAAA
This is a long non-coding RNA of Lutzomyia longipalpis, 1315 nucleotides long. RefSeq lists it as uncharacterized. NCBI's taxonomy places the organism in Eukaryota, Metazoa, Arthropoda, Insecta, Diptera, Psychodidae. The transcript is spliced from 2 exons. The record is from RefSeq and is a predicted model, not a curated record.